This 217-nucleotide long non-coding RNA is filed under the name Coffea arabica (coffee). Its description in RNAcentral is "long non-coding RNA (CARA_LNC006246)". The record is from RNAcentral. Lineage: Eukaryota; Viridiplantae; Streptophyta; Magnoliopsida; Gentianales; Rubiaceae.
UUUGCUGGAGGCUCUAUGAGUGAAACUGAGCUUGGAGUGAGCUAGUGAGAUGUGGAUUGUGGACUGUGCAAUAAGAGCCGAGAUGGAGAAAAAGAGAGAGGCAUGGUCUAUGGAGAAAGAGAGAGAGGUGUGGUCUUCUUCAUAGCUUUGUCUGUGGAAUCAAGUGCGGCGGGGGUGCAAAGGAAUGAGAAAGCAGAAGAAACAGAACGAAGAGUUG